CCCCCUCUCCCUCUCCCUCUCUCUCUGCUUGGUUGAUUCCGCUGUCUGACACCUUGUCUGUCUCAUUGCUCCCUCUGUCUUACCUUCCGUCUGUGUUUUUUUACCAGCCGCUUUCCUUUUUCUGCUGUUUUUUUCCUCUGUCUGUGUCCCUGUUUAUACAGAGACACGCACACGCUGCUCAAACCAGAGGCAGAGGACUCUCUCUAGACAUCUCUGUGUCUGGUGACAUCCAGACGACAUUGGACUUGUAUUACCCAGAGGCGUUUGGUACUGCCCAAGUUUUGAGAAACAGACCAGCAUGAUCAGCCGUUUGGUGAACCUGCCUUGCACCAUCCCAUUUCCAGUCUCCAGUGGGUGGCAGUGCUGAGGCCACCAG
Long non-coding RNA from Gasterosteus aculeatus aculeatus (three-spined stickleback), 376 nucleotides. The record is from Ensembl. NCBI's taxonomy places the organism in Eukaryota, Metazoa, Chordata, Actinopteri, Perciformes, Gasterosteidae.